GACGAACGCUGGCGGCGUGCUUAACACAUGCAAGUCGAACGGUAAGGCCCUUCGGGGUACACGAGUGGCGAACGGGUGAGUAACACGUGGGUGAUCUGCCCUGCACUUCGGGAUAAGCCUGGGAAACUGGGUCUAAUACCGGAUAGGACUCCUGGCUUCAUGGUUGGGGGUGGAAAGCUUUUGCGGUGUGGGAUGGGCCUGCGGCCUAUCAGCUUGUUGGUGGGGUAAUGGCCUACCAAGGCGACGACGGGUAGCCGGCCUGAAAGGGUGACCGGUCACACUGGGACUGAGAUACGGCCCAGACUCCUACGGGAGGCAGCAGUGGGGAAUAUUGCACAAUGGGCGCAAGCCUGAUGCAGCGACGCCGCGUGAGGGAUGACGGCCUUCGGGUUGUAAACCUCUUUCAGCUAUGACGAAGCGCAAGUGACGGUAGUAGCAGAAGAAGGACCGGCCAACUACGUGCCAGCAGCCGCCGUAA
RNAcentral lists this ribosomal RNA (478 nucleotides) under uncultured bacterium. RNAcentral describes it as "partial 16S ribosomal RNA". It matches the Rfam family "Bacterial small subunit ribosomal RNA", at positions 28 to 523 of the family's 1533-position model. The record is from RNAcentral.